RNAcentral lists this ribosomal RNA (377 nucleotides) under uncultured bacterium. Its description in RNAcentral is "bacterial SSU rRNA". It matches the Rfam family "Bacterial small subunit ribosomal RNA", at positions 521 to 896 of the family's 1533-position model. The record is from RNAcentral.
UAAUACGGGGGGAGCUAGCGUUAUUCGGAUUUACUGGGCGUAAAGGGUUCGUAGGCGGUCAGAUAAGUCAGGGGUGAAAUCCAACGGCUUAACCGUUGAACUGCCUUUGAAACUGUCUGACUUGAGUGCAGAAGAGGAAAGCGGAAUUCUCGGUGUAGCGGUGAAAUGCGUGGAUAUCGAGAGGAACACCAGUGGCGUAGGCGGCUUUCUGGUCUGCAACUGACGCUGAUGAACGAAAGCCAGGGGAGCGAACGGGAUUAGAUACCCCGGUAGUCCUGGCUGUAAACGAUGGGCACUAGGUGUGGGAGGUAUCGACCCCUUCUGUGCCGCAGUUAACGCAUUAAGUGCCCCGCCUGGGGAGUACGGCCGCAAGGUUG